GUAGAUUUGCUUAGAGGUUCUGCAUGCUUUGCUGAGGUGGGACUAACAAGCCUUGAUUUCAUCCCCCUUCACGCAUCCUCUUAUCUUUAAUAGCUGAAGGAUGUUUUUGGCUCUGCUUAUUUUAUCAUUAUAUGCUUGUAUACUAGCUCUUUUUAGUUUCCAUCUUCUUGUAUAUAUGACUCUUUGUACAACUUUCUUGCUAGCUGCCUUGUCCAUCUUCAGUACUCAAUUAAUUUUGGAAUUCUAAUUCAACCUUGUAAAAAUAUCAUUUUGCCCCCCGGAACUCACAUAAUUGGCCACUGUAAUGGAGAACAAAAAUGUCAUUUUACAGGGCAAACAUGCAUGGCUAAACACUGUCCCUCUUUAUUUUUUAUUUGAUAGCAAUCAGUAUGAGCAUAAAUAAAUACAAAUGAGCACGGUGGAUGGGUAUUUCAAUUCUUCAGAUUCAUGGCCGAGCAGAAAUCAGAUACGAAACGGGUCAUAUCCGAGGGAGAGACCAUCCAACUAGGUUAAAAACAAGAGGCCUGCCCUCUCUCUGCAAGCUAAGCUCAAACACAAACACAUGAGAAUCGUUUUAUAAUUUAUAUCCCUUUCAAGAACAACCAUUUGUAGUUGAUGACCGACAAGCAAUACUUCAUCAUGUGGUUCCAUCUUGAAAUGCAAGUACGUGUAUAGACCAUAGAGUGAGUAUAAACUGCAAGUUCUAGAGUGGUCCUCCUCCUAAUUGCGUGAUGUGCCUGGCAUCUAAGAUGAUAGAGGAACCUCAUUCUUACCCCUCGCAUGCUAACAUAGAGCCCGCAGCACAAAACAAAGUUACUACUGUUUAGUGGCUUGCGGCCAUGGAAAGACCAGAGACUUCAUAGGUCAGCAUAAUUUCUACCAGCGUUAUAAACGAGUUCUAAAUAAUGCUGUUCUUCUCUUGGCAUAUUACAUUAGCCCUAGCUGUUUGUUCAUCACUUCCACUACAUUACAACUACUACUCUCCAACUCAUUGGUAAUUAAAACAAAUGAAAACGUUAUGCUGUCAUCGAUUACAAUUCUUAAUUUGUAGCUCUACUAUGUUUCAGGAAAAGUUGAGGAUUCUUUGGUCGGUAAAAGAUUUUUGCAACUAAUAAUAUACCCUAGUAUGUUCGUGUGGAAUCCCACACUGGGGGCAUCUUUAAUUUCCUCUUUUUAGUCUAGGCACUCCUGUAAGCUUUUCUUGACCUUCUCUUUUUGUCCACUUCGAAAUAUAAAACCUCAUUUUUUUUUCUUUGCUGGUAAUUUUCCAGUUCAUGAUCUCGUCUAACUUUGUUUGUUUACAUGUAGCAUGAUUGAAUAAGAUGAGAGAACGAACAUUUUGCACCUCCAUUAAUAAAGGCAUAAAUGUUCUUUUGAUUUUUGACACGGCUUUUAUGCUUAUGGCAUCCAUACUCUCUUAACGCGAAAGGAAAAAGAAGCACUUACCAUAGCAAACAAAAUACUCAAGCUAAGUAAAUGGGGACCCGGACGAGUUAAUGUGGGAUAUCAUCACAUCCAUACUAGUACAUAUUGUGUCGCAUGAUAUUUGACUUCACUAUAUUUUAAUCAGUCGUAGUGGAGGGUGCAAAGGAGAGACAAAAAUAACUCAAGCAACUGGAAAAGAAAAGGUUAGUAAACGCAUGCCUGACCACACAAGAACUGAGGGAGGGAAAAGAAUAUACUUACAGUGAGUUAUUAUACAUCUUUUUAGAUUUGAAAGAUGUGUCUGGAAUCUAUUAUGGGCCCCCAAACAGGAAGGAGUGAGGCUGUCAGAGCAUGACCUAGCUAGGGUUAGUUCUUUCGCUUCUAUACAUCUCUAACCAAAGAUAGAUCAUGCUGGCAGCUUCACCUUUUCCCUUGUGAACUUCUUUUAACCACACGAAAACAGAUCAGGUCAACUCCCUGCACAUUGUUCUUUCGUUAUUGUAUGAAAACAGAAACUGAGCAGAAGAUUCCUCUUCUUUAAUUUUUUUUUAUAAGCAGAAAGAUGCUUCUUAUUGAAGGAGAUAGAUCAGGAAGGUGCAAGUACAAGAAAGUAGUUUCAAGCAUGCGCCUAUAGAGAAUGGAAAUAAACCUUCAAAACUAAAAUCUGAAGAUUGUACAAAUUUAUCUUUGAAAAGCAAAAACUCCAUUGAGAAAAUUAGAACGGUAUAGAACAACAGUUUCUGGCUCUACAAAAGGAAAUAUUUAAAGGAAAAAAACCAAAAAAAAAUCUUAAAAAAAUACACAUAUAUAGAUGAAAACAUGGAAAAAGAGAACGGAGACAACUGACGAGAGGAGUGAAAGCCUUUCUUUUCUCCAUCGAAGGAAAACAGAAACUACCACAGAGGAAAGAAAGAACGGAAGAAAGAAAAACCCUACAUUUCUUAGAUGCAAGGAUAGCAUAAAUAGAAGGGGAAGCUAGGGCAGAAGUAAACGAGUCAAGAUGAAGAGAAUCAUUAAGAAAAGACGCAAAACCCUUCUUGUUCAACAGUGAAUUAAAGGAGAGGCAUCAUGUGGACAGCUAAGAGGCUAUAGAAGUAUAGCAUAGUUAAGAAGAGUGGAGAUAAUAUAGGGUCACAGGUGGCGGUAGAAAAUAUAGGGCGGCAUCGCAGGCAAGGGUGGAGGCUACUGGUGCCCACAUAAAGUACUGUUUUGUGCAUACGAGGCAACAGUACAGUAGAGGAUCCGAAGGUAUCACACCACAAGUUUCAAAUAUGACUGUUCCUCCUCAGGGGCAGAAGGUCACUGUACCCUACAAUUAUUGGGUUUCUAAUCUAAGUGUUUGGUUAGUCUUUCGAUGCGUUUUGUUUGGAUUCCUUGCUAUUUCACUGCAUGCCUGGCGAGUGAUCAUUCAUUUGUACUUGUGACAGCCCCCCCACCCCCUCCUCCUCUCUGGGCUUUGCUUUGUUCAAAUUCAGUUGUCAAUUCAUGGUUGAAGGGGUGGUUUUAAUGCCGAUUCUCGCCCAUCGAGAAAACUCUCUAUAUCCUCUUUUGUUGGCUUGUGGGAUAAUUAAUGGUGGCGACAAGAUCUAUCCUUGCGAUAAAUAACGAGUUACAUCCAAGGCUCGACUAAAAUGAUAUAACCAGUUGUCCGGAAUGUUAUUUAUUUUUUUAAGUUUCAGUUUUGUAGGGUGGUAUAUAGUUUUUAUUUUGUUUUGGUUUUUUUAUUAAUUUUUUUUAAAAAUAAAUUAAAUAUUUUUAAAUAAUUUGAUGUACUGAUAUUAAAAAUAAUUUUUUUUAAAAAAUUUAUUUUAAUAUAUUUUCAAGUAAAAAACACUUUAAAAAAUAAUUUUUACCACAAUCUCAAAUAAAUGAAUUAUUAACUAUUAACACAACAUGUCUAGAUAAAAUAUCAAGCCUGAAUGACAUAAAUCUAGUUUGUUUCCAUACCCAAUAUCAUUGAUUUCAGUUUAUAUAUAUGAAAAGAUAUUGGACUUGAUAUCAUUAGAUUCAAUUAUGUGAUAAACUCAAGUAUCUUCUCUCCCCGAGGCUCUCUCAAGGCAUUAUAGGACAGGCUUCUUUAAUUAUGAGAAUUAUCUUUCCCCUACCAGGGGUGGACGCUAGAGUUCCAUUUACUGUAGUUUAGAGGCCUGAUUUGAUAGACCCCUGUUACUUGUUGCUUCUUUCAAUUUCUAGCUGAAACAUGAACUCAUUGUUGGAGAAAGCAAUGUCUUUACUCUUAAGGUCAAAUCUGACUUUACGAGGAUCCAUUUGGUUUUGUUAAAAAAAAAAAAAAAAGAAAUAAAGAAAUUGUUAGGUGGAGGUAACAAGAAUCAUAAUUUCUUAUUAAAAAAGAGUGAAAUUUGCUCAAGAAAUCUUCUAAACUGUUUUUACAGAGACUGCAAAUAGCGAAAGUGAAAGAAAACAGUAAAAGUAAUAACAGCUAGGGUAAUAAAAGAGAAAUUUUUUUACGCUUAUUGUUAAAUGAAUGACUUUUUAUGUCAUUUCAAAUAUCUAUAAAUCUAAUUAAUUAUUGCAUUAAACGUACGCCACUGUUUUAUUUACCAAUAAACACUUCUUUUAAUAAUGAAAAACUACUUCAGUGGAAUUUCUCUAAUCAAAUUAAACUUGCUGACACCAAGAUCUCCCUUUUUAGUUGAUGAAAUUGAUGUCAUCCAAUGUUUUUCUCUCCCAUCAACCGAAAUUUGACAACUUUCUUUUCUUCUCUCAAACUUAAAAACUAAAAUGUAAAGAAUAUUAAUUUUUGGACUAAAAUUAAAAUUACACAACUUUUAGGAAUUGUAAAGGAAAAAAAGAGAAGAGAUUAUGAUAAUGAAAAAGAACUUUUUUGUAUAACUCUAGAUUGACUAUGAGUUUUCUUUUAUUUUACAUUUUGAUUCCUAUUUUUUAAAUUGUAUUUUAGAUUAGCUAUGAGUUUUUUUUUGUUUUAUAUUUUGGUCCCUGUUUUUAAAAUUUUAUCUCUAUUGAAUAAAUUUUGAUAAAUCUAUUAUAAUAUAGUAUGUAAUGUAAUGUAAUAAUUAAGAAUACAUGUUCUCAAUCGAUCCGGGUGCAUCGGUCCUAGAUUAAAGGGGCAUAUAAAUUAUCUAUAACUUUAACGAAAGCAUAAACAUUGCUUAAAAUAUGUUUAAAUUAAAAUUAAAAAAAAAAACUAUUAAAAAACAUAAACAGCGUCAAAUGCUAAAUUACUUGCAAUAAAAAAUGCAAACACAUUUUUUAAAAACACACAUUUUAAAGAACUACCCUUGUAAACGCCAUUGCAUGUGAAAUAUCUGGACCGAAAUACUUGAGAAAGGUAAACAUCUCCCUCUGUGAAUGUUUAAAGAAAUCAGCAGAACAAUACCUCCUGAUUUUAAUUAAAAUAGCAUUUUAAGCCAUGACUAGAUUAUAUUAAAUUCCAGGAUUCCCUUUUUUCUUUUGAUCAUCUCAAUACCUUGAUUGCAGUGACCAAAAACUGCUGUUCAUGGCCGCUGCAGCUCACCGCAAACCUCCUACAAGCAGCUAAGGCUAUACCUGCGGCACUAAUUUGAAGCCUUUUUUAAAGCUGUUAAUUGGGUUCAGACGAGAUAUAAAGGCUAAUGCAAGCUCGUGAGUGAGAGAGAAGAAAAGGAUGAGAGAAAGGAGGGCCAAAAUGGAUUUAAAGGUGAUGAUCAGAUGCAAUAUAAUGGUUGUUUAUCCAUUUUUGGACGCAUGUAAGUUGCUAUUAGUUACAGAGUCUGCAAUUUACAGAUAUAGUAGACUGCUAGGCCUGUGAGGUAUGUGCCAUCCAAGUUUUCGGAGGUUCUGUAAUGUUAUUUGUCAGUGGGGUGUUUGCGAGUUGACUAAGAAUUAUUUUUUAAAAUAUUUUUAAUAUAAAAUUAGAAUAAUCAUGUUAAAUAAUAAUAAUAAUAAUAAUAAUAAUAAUAAUCAUCUAAUAUAAUGGAAUAAAUUGAAAAAUAAAAAAAUUCAAAGAAAAAAAUUGAAUUAACUUAAUUAACUUAUUACCUGUAAUAUGAGAUUAAGAUUAAAAAAAAACUAGAAAAAAAAAAAGUUAAAUCAAUAAAAAACUAGAAAAAAUUAAAUAAAUUCGAGUUACCUGAAUAAAGUAAAAAUACAAAUUGGAGGCAGAAUUGAAUUUUGGUCGGACCAUCAUGAAUCCCGGGACUCACAUUCUUGGCUGUUAUAAUGAAGAACAAAAAUGUCAUUUUACUGUGCAACAUGCAUGGCGAAGCACCUUUCCCUUUGAGUUUUUUCUUUAAUAGUAAUGAACACGAGCAUAAAUAAAUAAAUACAAAUGAGCACCGUGGAGGAGGGGGAUUUUAAUUCUUACGAUUCAUGACCGAGCAGAAAUCAGAGACGACACCGGUCAUAUCCAAGAGAGAGACCCUCCAACCAGGUAGAAAACAAGAGCCAUGCUCUCCCUCUGCAAGCUAAGCUCACGUACAAACACGCGAGAAUCGUUUUAUAAUUUUUAUCCCUUUCAAGAACAAUAACCAUUGUAGUUGAUGACCGACAAGCAACACUUCAUGUGUGGUUCCGUCUUGAAAUGCAAGUACGUGUAGAGACCAUAGAGUGAGCAUAAACUGCAGGCUCUAGAGUGGUCCUCCUCCUAAUUGCGUGAUGUGCCUUGCAUCUAAGGUGAUAAGGAACGUCGUUCUUACUCCUGGCAUGCUAACACAGAGCCCGCAGCACAAAACAAAGUCCCUACUGUUUGGUGACUUGCGGCCAUGGAAGGACCAGAGGUUUCGUAGGUCAGCAUAAUUUCUAGCAGCGUUAUAAACGAGUUCUAACUAAUGCU
This 6217-nucleotide long non-coding RNA is filed under the name Populus tremula. Its description in RNAcentral is "long non-coding RNA (PTRE_LNC002299)". Lineage: Eukaryota; Viridiplantae; Streptophyta; Magnoliopsida; Malpighiales; Salicaceae. The record is from RNAcentral.